Long non-coding RNA from Stegodyphus dumicola, 359 nucleotides. The record is from RefSeq and is a predicted model, not a curated record. NCBI's taxonomy places the organism in Eukaryota, Metazoa, Arthropoda, Arachnida, Araneae, Eresidae.
AUAUUCAUACCGAUUCUAUUCGUGUCUCUAAGAAAUGGAAUUUUUGAAACACAGUCUGCUUUUCCUUGCUGCUCUGGCGAUGGCAACUUUGGCUGUCAUCCAGGCUGCUCCUGACCCUGAUCCACAACUCAGGCCUAUCGGCAGAAAAUGAAUGCUCCUGACCGUUUGGAUUUGCAGGUAUGGGAAACGACCGAAUAUGCUUCUUCUUCAAGAAUAAAAAUGCUUCUACAGAGAUAAACGAUAACUUCUAAAAGAUUUGUAAACUGUUAUUCAAUGUCAUGUUAACCAAAAUUUAAAAAUUGUUUUUCUAUUUGACAAGUGUUUCCAAAAUAUGCAAUAAUAAAGCAUCUUAAAAAAUU